AGGAAAAGUUGCUAUAGGUAGGGCGAAAUAUUUGCUACAUAUUGUGUACUAACACCUGGGUGUUCGAUUCACCUCUUUUCCG
RNAcentral lists this transfer RNA (82 nucleotides) under Diaporthe longicolla. Its description in RNAcentral is "tRNA-Ser". The record is from RNAcentral. Lineage: Eukaryota; Fungi; Ascomycota; Sordariomycetes; Diaporthales; Diaporthaceae.